UACGAAGGGGGCUAGCGUUGUUCGGAAUUACUGGGCGUAAAGCGUGCGCAGGCGGCCUCUUAAGUCAGACGUGAAAUCCCCAGGCUUAACUUGGGAACUGCGUCUGAUACUGGGAGGCUUGAAUGCGGGAGAGGGAUGUGGAAUUCCAGGUGUAGCGGUGAAAUGCGUAGAUAUCUGGAGGAACACCGGUGGCGAAGGCGGCAUCCUGGACCGACAUUGACGCUGAGGCGCGAAAGCCAGGGGAGCAAACGGG
Molecule: ribosomal RNA, 253 nt
Filed under: uncultured bacterium
Lineage: Bacteria
Description: partial 16S ribosomal RNA
Rfam family: Bacterial small subunit ribosomal RNA
Source: RNAcentral